CCAUUCUCACCCUAGAUGUGAGGAACAGGGACUUCCCUGAGGCUAGACAGGGCAGGGUGAUUGCUUAGCAGAUGGAGAAGCAGCCCGAUGGUUUUUUCCAUGGCCUUUGGAGUCUGUGGAAAUCAGGGUCUCUUCCUUUGGAGUGAAUUCCCUGGCCAUUACUGCAAUGCCCUGGCUUGCCCUGGUCCCAUGGAACUGAGAGAUGUCAUUGUAACAGUCAUGGAACUGAGAGAUGUCAUUGUAACAGUCAGUUCACACUGUGCCUCUGGACUUGAGCUCACCUGGCAUGAGGCCUGGAGUGACCUGGCUUCGAGGAGUAAAGUCUUGGCACCAACUUCUCCACCCCAUUCUCAGGAUGUGGAGCCCUUAAACCACCUAAGGGCUUCGGGCCAUUCCCACUCCGCAGCUGUCUGGCAGCUCAGGCUCUGUUCAGAAGAGGAUAAACUGCUUCCGGCACCUCACCGUCCUUUUCUCAAAGCCUCCCCUUCCCCAGAUGUGUCUCCCUUUGAUAGUUACACAGUCAGUUCAAUAAACACUUGGACAUAGUAAAAAUGAGCCCUGCCUCCACCAGCCAAGCUAACAGGAAGCCCUGGCUGUCACUGUGUCCCAUGCUCUGUCCACUUCCCUGCUAGAAUGAUAAUGAUCAUUUUUACAGUUUCCCUAGAGCGGUACUUCUCAGCCUUCCUAAGGUGGGACUCUUUGACACAGUUCCUCAUGUUAUGCUGCUCCCAACCAUGGAUGCCCAUCUGCUUUUAUGCUCACAUGGCCGCCAUCAAUCUGCAUGUGACAACGUCAAGUUGAGAAGACAAAUAGCCAGCACAUGCCUGAUGCAUCUACCUUGUCCCCUCCAACAUGCCGGAAGAAAAGCAUAGCCACCUGAGGACUUGCUGACACAUUACUUGGAUUUGUCUCUCCUGAAGAGCAGCUCCAUGUCACUUCACGCCCUGGUUCAGAACCAGCCCAGCAAUUCACAUUUCAUAUCCCUCACUGCCUGUUCUGCUCUGCUACAGGGCCAAGGUGAGCUCGCUUAUGGGCCAACACUUGCUUUCAGGAAUGCAGCUCCAAUUUGUUCUCUAAGAAGAGUGAGGAAGAAAGCUUGUUUUCUUUUAGGGUCUGGACUUGCUUGCCGGGAAAUAGAAGGAAGGAAUGAGGUUGCAGGUGGAAUUUGUCUGGGCCUUCCUUUUCCAUCUGGGAGACAGAGGUUAGUCCCUGGGGAGGUGAAAUGCUCCUCAGCAUGUCAUUGUAUGAGCCCAGACAGGCAGGGUGGGUACAAAGGUGAGUGAUGGCCCUCACAGGCCUAGGUUGGAGGUUCUAGGCUCCAGUUACUAGAAGGACUAGUGGGGUCAUUGAAAUAGUGUGGGGAGGACUGAUGAUCAAUCAGAAAAACUAUCUAAAACCCCAAGAUCUUUAAAGUGCGUAAGUUACCUUUCUGUUACAGCGACAGACAUUCAAUCACCCGAGAGGAAGAAAGGUUUGUUCUGCCCACAGUUUGUGAGGUUUCGGUCUACAGUUGCUUGGCCAUGUUGCUUCUAGCCUGUGGUAGCUCAGGACAUGGUGGUUGGAGAAUGGAGUUGAAUAGACUGCUGUGGCAGCCAGGAAGCAAAGAGAAAAAAGAAGAACAAGGAAAGUCCCCAACUCCCCAAGAGCAUACCCAACAUGGGUCUUGUCUAAUCAUUCAAAGACCAGAGUAGAAGGACAUCCCUUCAAGACAGCACCCAAGAAAUCUGCUUUAGUUUCUAGAAUCUGCAGACAUAAGACUCAAAGAUCAGCUCUUAUCUGACAUGCUUCCUGCCACGUUCUGAAAGCUUACUGAGUUUUGAAUUGCCAGUUCUCGUAAUGACAAAACCCAAUUCCUUAAAAGUCACCCUUCUUCUUGCAUUUGUAUGUGUAUCCACAUGCAUGAAUAGGAACCAUAUCAAUGUCUUCAUCUAUCCUACUAUUUUUGUUUCUUUGAAAACCCUGCCUAUGCUCCUUAAAAUUCCCAGGAGGCCUCAAGAAACCCUUGCACAAGGAGGCUUUCCUAGAUGUGAGACCAUAUGGCAAAACUGAAUGGGUGAAUUAGGAGUGUGGAAACAAGAAUGAACUAGGUUCUUCUAAAAUAAGUGACUGCUACUCAACCUUCUGUUGUCCUGAGACAGGGGAAAUCUGGCCUAUCAGAAAACGUGAUAUUGCAUCAAAUGAAGCCCAAACCCAGUUACCAUGGGAAAUCACUGUAGGCAAGCAUCCUAGUUAGGUUGCUAUUGCUAUGAUAAGUACCAUCACCAAAGAACAGAAACAAAAACCAGGAAAGGGAAGGGUUUAUUUCAUCUCACAACUCCUAGGCGGGGAAGACAGGGUAUUCAAGGGAAGAGCCUACAGAUAGGAAACGAAGCAAAAUUCACGGAGGAGCACUGCUGACUGGUUUGCCCCUCAUGCCUGCUUAGCCACCUUUCUGGUACAACCCAGGAUCACCUGCCCAGGUGUGGCACCACCCACAGUGGGCUGGGUCCUCUCACAUCCAUCAUUAAUCAAGAAAAUGCUCUAAAGGCCAGUAUGAUGGAAGCAUUUUCCCCCUAUUUGAGAGUCCUCAUCUCAGAUGUCUCUAACUUGUAUCAAGAUGACAAGAAAAAAAACACAACAAAAACCACAACAACAACAAAAAAAACUAAGCAGGCAAAAGGGCUUUGCAAAAGACACAGGUUUUAAGCAUCACCCGAGGGAUCCAGUCUUCAGCAAUGUGUAGGGAAUGCUAGAUUUGAUGACAUAAAAAAUAGGCACAGGACCUCUUUGUACUCAAGGACCAUCCUGCAGAGAGAGGAAAAAUCUAGCUCAUGAGUUUGAAUCUUUCUGAAAAGAAAAACAGUUUUAAUUAUUCUUACUUUGGUUCUUCAAGAGGCUUUUGUUUUUAUUUCACCACAAUAUUUCCUUGCUUAAAUACUAAGGUGAAAGGGGAAAUGAAGUUUCAAUUUUUUGUUGACUUCAUUUAUGUCACCCUUUUGAAUUCUGUCAGAUACAUUUUUAGCAGCUGGGAACUGAAUGGAGCUUUAAGAAGACAAGGUAACUUCCUGAACCUUCUACCCAGGCUAUUUCUGUCUUGCCACUUUCAAAGGGCUCACCAGCCAAGGCAUGAAGGAACAAAUAACAAAGGUGAAAAGAAAGCCUUGUUAUGUAGGAGGCAGGCUUGCACAGAACAUGUGAUUUAGGUGGCAGGAGGUAUGGGUGUGAAUCAUGGAAUUGUAUGGCACGCACCCCCCAUCAGCAGAAAUGGUUCAAUGAAACAGACCAACCUAUCAUUGAAAGUGACAAAACUGCUGGUUAAUUAUUGAACCACAGAGAGCGCAACCGAUUUUGACUUUUUUUUCCCUUUCAAAAACAGCUAAUUUCUGAGGAUAUAUUUCCCCCAGCUUUCCAGUGCAUUCAGUGUUACAGAAAAUUUGAUGAUUCAUGUAAUUGAGCGAAAAUCUGUGUUAUUAUAUAAGAGGAUGGAAAUGAUUAAACUAUCACUUGGGUGCCUCUCA
This is a long non-coding RNA of Mesocricetus auratus (golden hamster), 3497 nucleotides long. RefSeq lists it as uncharacterized. The record is from RefSeq and is a predicted model, not a curated record. NCBI's taxonomy places the organism in Eukaryota, Metazoa, Chordata, Mammalia, Rodentia, Cricetidae. The transcript is spliced from 2 exons.